GGGAAGGGGUUCCCAACUGGCGGGGGCGGGGGCCUGCGGGGAGUGGGGAGCCCGCCCUGGCUGGGGGAGGGAACCCCCGGCCAGCGGUGGGCGUGGGGCGGCUGCGGAGGUCCCGGGCCUGCGGAGGGCAGGGCGUCCCUGUGCGCGACCCACCCCAGGCAGCGGCGCCCGGCGGCAGGUCGUCCCCACGCGCAGAGCCCUGCGGCGCCGCAGGGUGGGGAUCCCGCGGGUGCCGAAGGGCGCGUCCCCCCGCCCCGGGCCGCCGCGGGGCUCGCCCAGCCCAGGGUCCCGCCCCCGCGGUGUGGCCGGCGGCGGUCCUGCGGUGUGGACGGCGGCCCGCCGGAGAACCAGCCUCAACCUGAUCCCCAGCGCGUCUAAGCGAGGGAUGAAUGACCCACAGCACCGGCUGUGUCCUGGGGGCCAGGUGGCAGCAACCAUCUGUUAAUAGCAGCACUAAGUGGAUGGGUGAAUGGGUGUCAGGUGAGGUUUAAUCUGGAAUGCCUCAGAGACCCCACUGCUCUUCCCUGGCCUUUAGUGGAUUAACGGUCUGAAGCUCUGGGCGUGGAUAAACUAGAACAGUCUCCAUCCACAUUUAUCCCCUCUUUGCUCACCUGAUAGCUUUCUCGACCCUCAGCAGUCAGCUCCUCUUGCUCAGCAGCCUGCUGGAGACACCACAGGUAUCCUACCUACAAGGACGACCUUUGCCAUUGUCCUCAUCCUCACACCAACCCAGCCCCCUUAGAGCCCUCCACACCGCCAGUGUCCCCGCCCAGCCCCUGCCAGGCAUCAGCCUCUGGCAUCAGCCUUUGUGUGCAGAUGAAGCUGUCUGGGCUGCCUUUGUCCUGGGAGGGACUGGGAUUUUGAUCACUAAUUAGUGGCUGGCAAAUCAGGAGUUAGCCUUCGUCCCCUUUCCAGGACCCACAGGUAAUUCUUAUGUGGGAAACAAGGGCAAAAGAAAAAAAAUGAAAUUUCCUUACUGCCUACAGCCCACUGGCGUGUCCUUGAAACAGGCUGAGUGACCUCUACCCCCCAAGAUAAACGUUAGCAAUCCUCUUCCAAGCAUGUGACCCAUCUGAAAGUUCUCAUGACUAAGUUUUUACUAAACUAAUAAGCAACCUUUUCCUAAUGACAGCUAGGCCCUGCAGGAUCCUGGAAACCUCUUUUCCAAAAUACCUCCCCCUGACCCCCUCCCAACUUGAAAGCAUCUAAUGGGCCACUCCUCAUGACCCCGGUGCCCCUCUUCCUGCCCACAAGUCCUGUCCUGGUGCUUUAAUAAAACCACCUUUUGCACCAAAGAUGUCUGAAGAAUGUUUUCUUGGCCAUGGGCUCCAAACCCCAACACUUCAAACCACAUCAAUACCACAAGGGUUCCUGCCCCCAUUUCCUGCCUGGGAAUUAGGGUGAUCCCUGCCAGCCCAACCUCCCACCAUGUGGAUAAGAUGGGCAGAGGCUCCCAGACAGCAGUGAACUGAGACUGUGAUUCGCAUUUGCUCUACCCUGUUUUUUAUUUCUGUGAACUCACCUAAUGUAAUACUUAGGCUGUCCUUUUCUUCCUGGAAUACCUACCCUACCCUAGCUUUACUGCCUUUUUUAUAGAAUUGUUAAUUUUUCGAUAGACUCAUAAAAUGAAAUUCAAAGGGUACAAAAGAGCAUACAGUUUCCCUCCUUCUUACCCAGGGACAAGCUCUUCCAAUCCUCACAAUCAGCAGCUUCCUGUGCAUCUUUUUCAGAAAUAAUCCACACGUUUACAAAAUGUGCAUCAUUUCUUUUAACUGUGUUUUUGAUGUCUUUUGUAUUAACACCUAAAAAAGUAUACUUUUAUGCUUUGAAAAAAAAUCACAGUUUCAAAAUGGAGCACUAAGAUUCUCAAUGUGGAGCUUGUAUCCUGCAGUCUAAGCCUUCUCAGUCAGAUGGGGCCACAGCAGGAGCUGUCCACCUCCAGUAGAGACCGACGUGCUUUCCCAGUCUCCUCUGGGUCCAGAACAAAAAAUACAGGAGGAUGCGCAACCUACAAGAUGUGGUUAGACUUAAACGAAUCAGGAUAGGAAGGGCUGCUGGAAUCCCAGAACCCCCUGGGAUGGUCCAUCUGAUGAAACCGUAACCAGAGAUCCUAACCAAACAAGAGCGGCUUUCUCUUUCUCAAGAUUAAUUUUUCCAUGUUUCUGGUGAGGGUGUUUUAAUAUCAGCACUUGUUUACAAAGAUGUCCAAAUCUCAGGUUUCUUUAGCAACUUUACAUCUUUUAAACACUAAUUGCUUCCCAGAAGUGAACUGAAGUAACUACCUAUAAAAUACUACUAGUGUUGCUCCGGUGACCAGCCAGGCUCCACUCAGGUGCAUGGCCGCGGGCAAAUCACAUCCUACGCAGACACUGAGCAGCAGACACUGUGCCUCCGAAGCUCUCCUUUCCUCGGUGGGAGUUCCUGGCUUAGGAUUUUUUUUCCCUUCCAUCCUUUGGUGGAGGCACUGGUCACCAGGAGGAAGAGAAGAUGGAAGCAGUGUAGAUUAAAGGAAGUCAUGUCCAAAGUGGUUUUCACCUCCAACUCAUCAUCCACUCAUCAUGCUUCUAUGUUUAACUCCCAACUCAGUUCUACCAUCAGUCUUCCACUUUGUUUCACAAAUCUGAGCAUGGUCUUUUUCAGUGGAUGCCUGUGUCUCUGACUCACUAUAGUGACUUAGUAACCAAGUGUUAAUAUUUCUUGAAUCUACCGCCUUCUUUUCGAUUUCCUACCACCAUCCUAAUGCUUCAGCCACCACUGCGGCUUCAAGUCUUCCACUUCUUAAGUCUUCCAGAGAAAUCUGUACAUACCUCUGAUAGAACUCUUGAUUCCAGUGACAGAAACUGAUGUAAGCAAAAAGUGAAACCACUGCCAGGAGGCUGGCUUCAGGAGUGGCUUGGUAGAGCGACUCAGUGGCCAUCAUGGAGACCCAGGGCCUCCAGUGCACCACUAGGCUCUAUUCUUCAAAAGUUGGCUUCCUCCUCAGGCUACACACAGUGGCAAAAUGGCAGCAGAAGCUCCAGCUCACAUGCUUCCAGCACCAUGUUCUCUAGGAAAGAGCCAGGCCCGAGUUACGUGUUACACACACACACACUGCCCCCUCUGAACCUCACCUACUGAAAGUCAUGGAGGGUUGGAACGGAGCCAGCCGGUGGGAGUAGUGUGAGUGGCCAGCGAGCAACCAAAACACAUCAGAAGCCCACCCUGCAUCCCACCCUGCUAUUCCUCUGCAAAGAAUUCUCAACAGCUCCCUAAGUCCAACAAUCAAAAUCUUGUCAACAUGAUUUGACUUCAGUUGAUACACAAUCGUAAUCACUGUGGAGCUUUUUCAUUCUGUUUGCACCAGUCAUCUUGAGUAAGAGUUCAAACUAUUAAAAAAAGAUUGUAAGUAAUCUCUCCACCCAGCAGGAGGCUCGAACUUCCAACCCGAGAUGGAGAGUCAUUAUGCUUUACCAAUUGAGCCAGCUGGCGCCACCAGAGUUGAAUUUUAAAAUAGACCAUUUGGAUUUGUCUCCACUUGCAAGGGAAGGUGAGCAGCCUGUGCCCCUGGGAGCCCGGGAGCGGAAUUGGGCGGGGGGGGGGCGGGGGGGGACAGACCCCGCCCCUUAGUUUAAGGGCCUAAAAGCUGGUGUAGUGAGUCGGUGGAGCAGGUGGUGGCCUGAGGCCAGCAGGGGCGCGCAGACAGUGUCUGCAGCAAGGGGAGCCGGGUCUGCGAGCCCCAGAAGGGGCCCUGGGGACUUGAUACCCCCCGCAGUGCCCGCCGUCCCCGGGGCCUCGGACGCUCCCCUGGGCUCCCGGCGGAGGGGAUGAGGCAGGGCCCAGGAGUGGGGGAAGCAACCCCCAAACUGGGAACAGUGGCCACUGCUGGGGUGAUGCUGCCUGGACCCAGCAAGCGCCCGGGCCGCCGGCGCCCCCUGUCGGCAGAGCCCAGUAGGGCGGCCGCCCCGGAGC
RNAcentral lists this long non-coding RNA (3948 nucleotides) under Canis lupus familiaris (dog). RNAcentral's name for it is "lncRNA (ENSCAFG00040004105.1)". Lineage: Eukaryota; Metazoa; Chordata; Mammalia; Carnivora; Canidae. The record is from RNAcentral.